Molecule: ribosomal RNA, 243 nt
Filed under: uncultured bacterium
Lineage: Bacteria
Description: partial 16S ribosomal RNA
Rfam family: Bacterial small subunit ribosomal RNA
Source: RNAcentral
GAGAGCCGCGAACGGGUGAGUAACACGUGGGCAACCUGCCCUCAGCUCUGGGAUAACCCCGGGAAACCGGGGCUAAUACCGGAUACGACCACCGGGGGCAUCUCUGGUGGUGGAAAGAUUUAUCGGCUGAGGAUGGGGCCCGCGGCCUAUCAGCUUGUUGGUGGGGUGACGGCCCACCAAGGCGACGACGGGUAGCCGGCCUGAGAGGGCGACCGGCCACACUGGGACUGAGACACGGCCCAG